GAUGUAGAAACGGGCCCCGGGGCUACCAACCCGUACGGUAAUUGCUAUUUAGAAACGUGGACCAAACUAGAGUACUGUAGGAGGGGGUAGAAUUUCAGGUGUAGCGGUAGAAAUGCGUAGAGAUCUGAAGGAAUACCGGUGGCGAAGGCCGGCCCCCCUGGACAGAUACUGACACUCAGAUGACGAAAGCGUGGGGAGCAAACAGGAUUAGAUACCCUGGUAG
RNAcentral lists this ribosomal RNA (223 nucleotides) under uncultured bacterium. RNAcentral describes it as "partial 16S ribosomal RNA". It matches the Rfam family "Bacterial small subunit ribosomal RNA", at positions 588 to 793 of the family's 1533-position model. The record is from RNAcentral.